RNAcentral lists this small nuclear RNA (77 nucleotides) under Myotis davidii. RNAcentral describes it as "U4 spliceosomal RNA". It matches the Rfam family "U4 spliceosomal RNA", at positions 1 to 77 of the family's 138-position model. Rfam says of the family: U4 small nuclear RNA (U4 snRNA) is a component of the major U2-dependent spliceosome. The structure of U4 snRNA from yeast and human has been reported. Lineage: Eukaryota; Metazoa; Chordata; Mammalia; Chiroptera; Vespertilionidae. The record is from Rfam by way of RNAcentral.
AGCUUUGCGCAGUGGCAGUAUUGUAGCCAAUGAGGUUUAUCCAAGGCACAAUUAUUGCUAACUGAAGAAAAAAAAAA